CGUAGGGGGCAAGCGUUGUCCGGAUUUAUUGGGCGUAAAGAGCGUGUAGGCGGCUAGGUAGGUCUGCUGUGAAAACUCGAGGCUCAACCUCGAGACGCCGGCGGAAACCACCUGGCUAGAGUCCGGAAGAGGAGAGUGGAAUUCCUGGUGUAGCGGUGAAAUGCGCAGAUAUCAGGAAGAACACCCGUGGCGAAGGCGGCUCUCUGGGACGGUACUGACGCUGAGACGCGAAAGCGUGGGGAGCGAACAGGAUUAGAUACCCUGGUAGUCCACGCCGUAAACGAUGAGUGCUAGGUGUGGGGGGUGUCGACUCCCCCCGUGCCGAAGCUAACGCAUUAAGCACUCCGCCUGGGGAGUACGGCCGCAAGGCUA
This 372-nucleotide ribosomal RNA is filed under the name uncultured organism. Its description in RNAcentral is "bacterial SSU rRNA". It matches the Rfam family "Bacterial small subunit ribosomal RNA", at positions 526 to 896 of the family's 1533-position model. The record is from RNAcentral.